This 131-nucleotide small nucleolar RNA is filed under the name Prolemur simus (greater bamboo lemur). RNAcentral's name for it is "Small nucleolar RNA SNORA31 (ENSPSMG00000010157.1)". The record is from RNAcentral. Lineage: Eukaryota; Metazoa; Chordata; Mammalia; Primates; Lemuridae.
AUGCAUCCAUUUGACACCUGCAGCAGCUAUUGUCUGCAGCUAAGGUUUCCACUCUAGACGCCAGAAAAACGUAUCCUGUGUUUUCUGUCUGUCUGGAUUGUUUCAGCCAAGAUUGAAUGAGGAAUGCAGGA